Molecule: ribosomal RNA, 400 nt
Filed under: uncultured bacterium
Lineage: Bacteria
Description: bacterial SSU rRNA
Rfam family: Bacterial small subunit ribosomal RNA
Source: RNAcentral
GGGGAAUAUUGGACAAUGGGCGAAAGCCUGAUCCAGCAACGCCGCGUGGAGGAUGACGGCCUUCGGGUUGUAAACUCCUUUUUCGGGGGACGAUCGUGACGGUACCCCGGGAAUAAGGCUCGGCUAACUCUGUGCCAGCAGCCGCGGUAAUACAGAGGAGCCAAGCGUUGUCCGGAUUGACUGGGCGUAAAGCGCACGCAGGCGGCACCGCGCGUGGGGUGUGAAAUCUGGCCGCUUAACGGCCAGGCGCCAUCCCAUACGGCGGAGCUGGAGUGAUGCAGAGGUCGGUGGAAUUGCCGGUGUAGUGGUGAAAUGCGUAGAGAUCGGCAGGAACACCCAGGGGGAAACCAGCCGACUGGGCAUCGACUGACGCUGAGGUGCGAGAGCGUGGGGAGCGAAC